GCAUCAGUGGUGUAGCGGUAACAUUGGGUCUUCCCAUGUACCAUCAAACAUUGGUUGUAUUGGCCUAGCUCCGGGUUCGACUCCCGGCUGAUGCA
Non-coding RNA from Termitomyces sp. Mi166#008, 95 nucleotides. The record is from the annotation of a GenBank genome assembly. NCBI's taxonomy places the organism in Eukaryota, Fungi, Basidiomycota, Agaricomycetes, Agaricales, Lyophyllaceae.